UACGUAGGGUGCGAGCGUUACUCGGAAUUACUGGGCGUAAAGGGUGCGCAGGCGGUUAUAUAAGACAGAUGUGAAAUCCCCGGGCUCAACCUGGGAACUGCGUUUGUGACUGUAUGACUAGAGUACGGUAGAGAGGGGUGGAAUUCCUGGUGUAGCAGUGAAAUGCGUAGAUAUCAGGAGGAACAUCGAUGGCGAAGGCAGCCCCUUGGACCUGUACUGACGCUCAUGCACGAAAGCGUGGGGAGCAAACAGG
Molecule: ribosomal RNA, 253 nt
Filed under: uncultured bacterium
Lineage: Bacteria
Description: partial 16S ribosomal RNA
Rfam family: Bacterial small subunit ribosomal RNA
Source: RNAcentral